UGGCUGAAUAGUUAAAGUGCCCAACUCAUAAUUGGCGAAUUCGUAGGUUCAAUUCCUAC
Transfer RNA from Nicotiana attenuata, 59 nucleotides. It matches the Rfam family "tRNA", at positions 8 to 63 of the family's 71-position model. Rfam says of the family: Transfer RNA (tRNA) molecules are approximately 80 nucleotides in length. Their secondary structure includes four short double-helical elements and three loops (D, anti-codon, and T loops). NCBI's taxonomy places the organism in Eukaryota, Viridiplantae, Streptophyta, Magnoliopsida, Solanales, Solanaceae. The record is from Rfam.